AAGUGGAAUAAGAUUUCAUUUGUUGGUAAAUCAGACUCACAUCAUUUACACUGAAUGAUCACAAAUACAAAAUGUUGACAAUAAUAUGUUCAACUUGAUCCAUAAUAAGUAUUGGCAAAUGCCAAGUCGUACAAGUGGAAUAAGAUUUUCAUUUGUUGGUAAAUCAGACUCACAUCAUUUACACUGAAUGAUCACAAAUACAAAAUGUUGACAAUAAUAUGUUCAACUUAAUCCAUAAUAAGUAUUGGCAAAUGCCAAGUCGUACAAGUGGAAUAAGAUUUCAUUUGUUGGUAAAUCAGACUCACAUCAUUUACACUGAAUGAUCACAAAUACAAAAUGUUGACAAUAAUAUGUUCAACUUAAUCCAUAAGAAAUAUUGGCAAAUGCCAAGUCGUACAAGUGGAAUAAGAUUUCAUUUGUUGGUAAAUCAGACUCACAUCAUUUACACUGAAUGAUCACAAAUACAAAAUGUUGACAAUAAUAUGUUCAACUUAAUCCAUAAUAAGUAUUGGCAAAUGCCAAGUCGUACAAGUGGAAUAAGAUUUCAUUUGUUGGUAAAUCAGACUCACAUCAUUUACACUGAAUGAUCACAAAUACAAAAUGUUGACAAUAAUAUGUUCAACUUUAUCCAUAAAAAGUAUUGGCAAAUGCCAAGUCGUACAAGUGGAAUAAGAUUUCAUUUGUUGGUAAAUCAGACUCAUAUCAUUUACACUGAAUGAUCACAAAUACAAAAUGUUGACAAUAAUAUGUUCAACUUAAUCCAUAAUAAGUAUUGGCAAAUGCCCAAGUCGUACAAGUGGAAUAAGAUUUCAUUUGUUGGUAAAUCAGACUCACAUCAUUUACACUGAAUGAUCACAAAUACAAAAUGUUGACAAUAAUAUGUUCAACUUAAUCCAUAAUAAGUAUUGGCAAAUGCCAAGUCGUACAAGUGGAAAU
Molecule: long non-coding RNA, 936 nt
Filed under: Mytilus galloprovincialis (Mediterranean mussel)
Lineage: Eukaryota; Metazoa; Mollusca; Bivalvia; Mytilida; Mytilidae
Source: RNAcentral